This 74-nucleotide transfer RNA is filed under the name Bacteroidota bacterium. RNAcentral describes it as "Bacteroidetes bacterium (bioreactor sludge metagenome) tRNA-Met". It matches the Rfam family "tRNA". Rfam says of the family: Transfer RNA (tRNA) molecules are approximately 80 nucleotides in length. RNAcentral also lists the same sequence under 1 other name. Lineage: Bacteria; Pseudomonadati; Bacteroidota. The record is from RNAcentral.
GCCGGGAUAGCUCAGCUGGUUAGAGCGUCGGAAUCAUAAUCCGUAGGUCGGGGGUUCAAGUCCCUCUCCCGGUA